Molecule: long non-coding RNA, 974 nt
Organism: Cavia porcellus (domestic guinea pig)
Lineage: Eukaryota; Metazoa; Chordata; Mammalia; Rodentia; Caviidae
Exons: 3
Source: RefSeq, a predicted model, not a curated record
UUCAGGAGAGGAGAACCAGAAGUAAACAAGAAGCUGAAACCUCCUAUGAGUGGGCACCAUGUGUGGACUGACUGGGGGAGAACCAGAUACCAACCCAUUCCAGUGCGUGAGCAGGGAGGCAAGAGCCAAAGUUUGCUUCCCCCCAUAAGCAACCAGAUGAUCUGGAGAAACACCGGCUGUGAUGAUAGCUAAUGAGGUAUGCGCAGCUACUUUGAAGAUGGCAAGAGGCAUUAUGAGUAAGAAGCAGGCAAUUCAAGAAGCAAACAAACAAGAAACAACUAAAGCAAAAUGAUCACCAAAACAACUAAAAACAAUGAUGAUACAAGAUUUCAAAACAAGUUGAUAGAAAUUUAACAGUGGUGGUUAUACUGCAUAUUUUUAUCAUCAAAUAAUUGCUGUGGCUACUGACUUAACACAUCAAGUAACUGCCUGAGCUGGAAAAGUAACUUUCAUUUGGAUACAUUUCUUUCACUCUUUAUAAAUCCCUGUGAGGUGGUCAAUAGACUGAUUAUCAGUUUGAAUGUCAAUGCCAAGCUGAGUUGAGUAAGCUUGAAUCUGGUCAUGGAAGACCCACUUCAGGGAAAAUUUUUGUCAGAAUGAUAUAAAAACAAAAAUGGGAGAGAAAGUUUUCAGCCGAUGUUUCCUGGAGGAGCUUAGUUGUGACUCCUUUACUCCCAAAGUAUUUUGUGUUUGUCUUCGAAAGAGCAUUGGGUGUUUUCUUUCUUCACGGGAACUUCAGUUCUCAUCUUCAUCUUGGAGGCCCUGUCUCAGCUUCCAGUUUAGAUCCCUCAGCAUCCUGACAUGUGUCCCUCAACCUUUUAUUCCAGACACUGAGGGAGAAAGUCUCAAAUUUUGGGACUCAGUUCUCUUCCUUCUCGGAUCUCAGCAGUUUCUGCCCUUGGCUGGUCACAUCCAGCACUUCUUGCCUUCUCUUUGAUGUAUUAAUAAAGCACUUUCACAACUUCCUAACCUGA